Molecule: long non-coding RNA, 4774 nt
Organism: Ctenopharyngodon idella (grass carp)
Lineage: Eukaryota; Metazoa; Chordata; Actinopteri; Cypriniformes; Xenocyprididae
Exons: 9
Source: RefSeq, a predicted model, not a curated record
UUAAGACAACCAAUGUCUUUUUAAUGAGCAACGAAGGUGGAUAAAAGAUUAUUAAUUAAAAUGAGGUAAAUGUAACAAAAGAAUUUAUAGUAACUGUAUAUAUAUCUUUUUUUUUUUUUUUUUUUUUUACAAAACUGAAUAGUGGAUUAUUUACAAAUUCCUUUGUUUUCUGACCACUACACAAUUUAUUAUUUAGACAUUAAAAUUUAUUUUUUGCAAAAAUAUAGAAUAUACAUAAUUGCUACACAGUCAUAAGUUCUCAUACCAACAUUAUAGAUUAUUUAUUUAUGAAGGAUUUAUUUGACUGUUACUUUACCUUUUUUUUUUUUUUUUUCUUUUUAGAGAAAUAUAAAAGCAUGUAAAGGCUUAACCUCACCCUUGUUACAUCAACACAAUGUUGAAUGUUACACACCUAAUACUUGAACGUAAUGCACUACCAUGCCAUUGUUAUAGGCAGUAGGGGUGAUUCAGUGCACAAACAUGUUAAUAUUAGUUUAAUAUAGCAGACGAUGUGUUUAUGUCUGCCAGAUUUUUACCUGCAGCACAUGUGUGUGACAGUUGUUGACGCUCUUUUUAGAUUUACCUAUGACUUUGUCUGUUUGUUCACACAGCUGACAGGUAUGAGGCCAUCAUGUGCAACAUGGAAUCGCACUUACUCUCACUAAAAUACUUUUUCCUGCGUCACCAAUCACCACAGGAGCUGUGGAGCACUGUUAUUACUACAUCAACUCACUGCCAUUUUCAAUUUCACACAACGAAUGGAGAGAGGAGGUGGAGACUACUUAUCACUCCUAGAGAGAAUUUCUAAGGGUCAUGUUUUGGAGUAGGGCAGGAAGUUUUUCCUGGGUAUUUAUGUGCCGAGAGGAUGUGCCGUGGAGCACGAGGGAGGCCGACAGGGUGGCAGACCCCUGUGUGAGUAGCAUGACGGGAGGGAAGAGGAAGUGAGCUGUGUGUCCACCACUGUUUGUCUUCCCCUGCGGUUCUGCCCGGCUCUGUCACAGACCAUUGUGGCCUGGGUAGAUUGAUGGGCAGCAGUGGCAGGAAGCUGAAAGCUGGGAAAAAAAACUCUGAAGCAGACAACAUGUGGUUCCAUAUUCAAUAAGAAUGUAUUGGUUCCUACUCCAUUACUGCCAGCCAUGAUGCCCAACCUCAAGUUCAGGAGCGCUGAACUGGAAUCAGCUUUGAGAACCAGGAGCAGCAUAGGAUGAAAAGGAAUCGGAUCCCAGAUGAGUCCUUCUGCUUUUGAGCUGCAUUAUGAACGCCGGUCCAUAUGGCAGGGAACCGAGGAGGCUGCAGUGAGUGGGCUGUGCUGAAGGAAGCGCCCUGACUGAGCUCUACAGGAGGCUGUGCUCAGGAAACCCAAACCCUCAGUGACCUCUGACCUUUGCUACCGCUGCAACAUCUGCACCAGAGAUCGAAAGAGAGAGGAAAGGAGGAAGGGACAAAGAAAGAGAGGAACAGACACUGAGCAGUGGUGUUAAUGACAAAGCCAGAUCACAACAGCAGUGGCAGGAAACAAACUCUCCUAACCAUCAAGAGAACAGCAGUCUCACUCUUCUGAGGGUUUGCAGGACUUCAAGACUUGUGCCAGGUUCACACUGCAACAACAGUAGCCCACUGAUGGAGGCCUUCAGAGAGGUGACAUUUCACUGGGCACGACAGCCAAGAAUACCAACAAACUGACAGCGUGAAAUUACAGAAGCACCUGAAUUUGCCCUUUCCUGGAUGCUCAAGCAGAGGCUGAACCAGGGCCACUGCUGACCAAAUGGGUGUCCCAUGUAUUGCCUGAAUUGCCCCCAUUCCCACCAAUAUUAAUAAGGAAUGGCAUAUUUUCAGUGCCUUGUGUUCGGUAAAAUGGCUGUCAAAGAAAGAUGCGGGUCACUUUGCCGUGUAAUGUUGAGUCUGAGCAGCACAUGAUAAAAGCCAUGGGAGGCUACAGUCUGAGGAAAUGCACUCCAGAGUUACAACUCACUAUUGUUUUGAAAUGCUGUCUGUGAAAAAUCAGGGGCAAAUUUCCAAAAGCAUUUCCAGUGGCAAUAAAUAUUGCAUAAUUCAGGGUUUGGAUUUAAGGCUUUGUUCUGUGUUUUUCUGUUUUGAUCUGUAGCUUCUUGCCUCAGAGAUGACAAAGAAUGUCAUGACACACGCGAAAUAAGGAAAAACAUCUCUUGUUUUCAUGUUCAAUUUCUCUCCCACACACUCAAUUUGUCUCACUCAAACAAGUUGAAGCAGUGAACUGUGUAAGUAACUGUAUUGUCCAAGCAAAUAAUUACAGUGGUUAUUUAAACAUAAACAUGAAUCCAGCAACUCUGAUGAUAAUGUAAACUAACUAACUCUCUCUCUCUGUUUAACUGUGGGGUGUAAGGGAGUAAUUGUGAAGGCUCUAGCCUUUGGCUAUUGUGAGUGGAAACACGCUGUCAUAUUACUACGUUUUUCUCUGUCUCUCAGCUUGUGGCACGGAGGGAGUGCGUCCUCAAAAAUAAGAAUCAUUCAAAUCAAUAAUGAUAGCAAAACCCUCACUGCUGCUUCGUCAUAUCAAACUACAUGUUUUAAUGGGUUCAAAGAGAGAGAAAGAAAAGCUCAUUAUCACAUUUUUGGGCACAUUUAAUCUUAUUCUUUGUCUUUGUCGUUUCUUAAUUCAAAUAAUAUUACUUUAUAAUAAUAUAAAAAAAUAAUAUUUCUUUAUAUUUAAACUUGUUAAUUGCUAUGUUCUUAGUUCAAUAUCAGGGGUGCACAUAACUUUUUUUGGCCUGGUUCUCAAGGGAGCACCUGGAGAUGUUGCUUGGUACUCACACUUUACACGACACACUUAUCCUAAAAGCUGUCCUCAUCACUUUCCUCCUGACUGCUCACUAUCUUCUUUUCUCUCGAACAUGGUAGAUGAUGAUAAUGAUUUUUUUUAUUUUUAUUUUACUAACAUUAAUGACACACAACAGCAAGAAUAUUAGGCUGCUGUCACUUUAAGAAGGAAAGCACGGACCGAAUAACUGACACACAUCCGGUUUCUUUCUCAACUGUUCACUUAUGACAUAACCGAGAGAAUACUUGCGGAGACAGGUAUUUUGACAUAAUUUUGUGUGUAUGUGUCCGUUCAAGCGCAAGUAAACGCGAAAGAGGAAUUAAUUUGGUGUUCGAGCGCUGUCUCUCUCUCUCUCUCUCUCUCUCUCUCUUUUUCUCUGCGUGAGCGCACACACAGAUAACAGCUCGCGAGUCCCGAUUUUCGCCUCUUCUUCCGCUUUUAAAAUCGUUUGAAUGUGUUAAUUGGCGAGACAAAACACAUCCAAAUGAUAAACUUUCACUCUAUGAUGGUUAAAUUUUGCAGUAAAUGCACAAAUCACAUGUGUGCCGAACCGUUGGACCUUAUCCGUACGGAUCACGGAUUAACUGCGAUCCGUUGCACACCUAAUAAUUAAAGAACACACUUAUCAUCAUGAUUGCUAUUUUACCAGAGAUGGAGAAAAAUCCUACUCCAUUAAGUAAACGUGUCACUGUGAACCGGUCCUCAAAAAUAUUGGUACUCAAAAGCGCUUCCCUCCAUGUUUUCUGGUUCCUGCGUACCAUUUAUGUGCAACCGUUUAUGCUGCAUAUUAAUUAAUUUUUUUUUUUUUUUUUUAAAUAAGUCUUUAAUAAAUAUUACAGGUUUAUUUGCACUUAUUUUAUUUUACAGUGCACAAUUUAUCAUUGUACACAGAUGUUUUGUCAAUACAAAUGUGCAGUUUUGUCAUGCCAAUAAAGCACACUAGAAUUAAGAAAGAGAGAGAGAGAGAGAGAGAGAGAGAGAGAGAGAGUUGUGUGUGUGGGGGAGAACAGUAUACUAUUAAAACAACAGCAGCAAAGAGAGAAAGGAACUUGUAGCAGUUUGGACUCCUGUUCUCCUGCUGGAAUGCACAGCAGUGGCAUUUACACGUUCAUGGCGAUUUAUGGAUGCUGGCUUCCUCCUUCAUUCUCUCUCUACAGUGUCUAAGCCAGUGGAGACAAGGGAUUGCAAUAGUAUUCUCCCCCCCCCUGCCCUUCCACACCUGUUGUGUCAAUAUGGCAUUGAUAGCGAGUGAGAAAGAAAGAAAGAACGUUUGUAUGCGUGACAGUGACAGUGACAAUCUGUUAAUGUAUGUGGGUCUUAAUGUGCAUUAAGGCAGCUGUAGUGAUGGUCCUCCUGUUAUUUAAUAUGAAAUAAAGAGAGACCAUGAAGAUUUACCUCUCUUCCCUGCCUCCCUUCUGCCCCACAAUUGCCUGGGUGAGUAAUGGAACCAAUUUAUUACACAAUAAUUUAACCAUAAAGUGAUAUCAAACCAUCCAAAUUGGUAUUAUAACUCAAUGUGGCUAUGACAGUGUAUUCCCUAUAGCUCAAUGAAAGUCUGCUGGAAUCUCAGGGCUUGGCAGUUCAAUCAGGAGUAUGAGAAGAAGAGAAAGACUCAGAUGUAGAUGAGACUUACUGUAAGCUCAUCUGAGGUACAUGAGGAUAGAGUGAGGGAUUGUGUUCUUUCACUCAGCUGUGAUAUAAGAGAGUAUAGAGAAAAGAAACGAGAGGGGGAGAAAGGCGAGGCUGAUGGGUCAGAAGGCGUUAUUGUAGUAUUAUUUAUAUACUAUUAAAGUGUUUAUUAAUAUUGUUAUUAAUUAUUUAUAAUAAAAUAUUUACUAUAAUUUUAUUAUAGUAUUUAUUAUUAUUUGUUUGUGUUUUUAUUAUUUUUUGUUUUUUAAAAUAAUUCUAUUUACCUCUAGUUUAUUUUUAUUUCAGUUUUAGUUUUAUUAAUUUAGGUUCUUUAACUUAAAACAUUAA